RNAcentral lists this ribosomal RNA (254 nucleotides) under uncultured bacterium. RNAcentral's name for it is "partial 16S ribosomal RNA". It matches the Rfam family "Bacterial small subunit ribosomal RNA", at positions 524 to 776 of the family's 1533-position model. The record is from RNAcentral.
CACGUAGGGACCAAGCGUUGUCCGGAUUCAUUGGGCGUAAAGAGCUCGUAGGCGGUUCGAUAAGUCGGGUGUGAAACCUCCAGGCUCAACCUGGAGACGCCACCCGAUACUGUCGUGACUAGAGUCCAGUAGGGGAGCGUGGAAUUCCUGGUGUAGCGGUGAAAUGCGCAGAUAUCAGGAGGAACACCAGUGGCGAAGGCGGUGCUCUGGGCCGGAACUGACGCUGAGGAGCGAAAGCGUGGGGAGCAAACAGG